RNAcentral lists this ribosomal RNA (428 nucleotides) under uncultured bacterium. RNAcentral describes it as "bacterial SSU rRNA". It matches the Rfam family "Bacterial small subunit ribosomal RNA", at positions 355 to 774 of the family's 1533-position model. The record is from RNAcentral.
UGGGGAAUCUUGCGCAAUGGACGAAAGUCUGACGCAGCGACGCCGCGUGGGUGACGAAGGCCUUCGGGUUGUAAAGCCCUGUGGGGAGAGACGAACCGGCAUCUGGCUAACAUCCAGGUGCUCUGACGGUAUCUCCUUAGCAAGCAUCGGCUAACUCUGUGCCAGCAGCCGCGGUAAGACAGAGGAUGCAAACGUUGCUCGGAAUUACUGGGCGUAAAGCGCGCGCAGGCGGUCCUGUAAGUCGGGUGUGAAAGCCCCGGGCUCAACCCGGGAAGUGCACUCGAUACUGCAAGACUGGAGUACUGGAGAGGAGAGCGGAAUUCUCGGUGUAGAGGUGAAAUUCGUAGAUAUCGGGAGGAACACCAGCGGCGAAGGCGGCUCUCUGGACAGAUACUGACGCUGAGGCGCGAAAGCGUGGGAAGCAAACA